AUUGAACGCUGGCGGAAUGCUUUACACAUGCAAGUCGAACGGCAGCACGGACUUCGGUCUGGUGGCGAGUGGCGAACGGGUGAGUAACAUAUCGGAACGUAUCCAAUAAUGGGGGAUAACGAGUCGAAAGAUUCGCUAAUACCGCAUACGCCCUACGGGGGAAAGCUGGGGACCUUCGGGCCUGGCGUUAAUGGAGCGGCCGAUAUCUGAUUAGCUAGUUGGUGAGGUAAAGGCUCACCAAGGCGACGAUCAGUAGCUGGUCUGAGAGGACGACAAGCCACACUGGAACUGAGACACGGUCCAGACUCCUACGGGAGGCAGCGGUGGGGAAUUUUGGACAAUGGGCGCAAGCCUGAUCCAGCCAUUCCGCGUGAGUGAAGAAGGCCUUCGGGUUGUAAAGCUCUUUCGCAAGGGAAGAAAACUUAGCCACUAACAUUGGUUGAGGUUGACGGUACCUUGAUAAGAAGCACCGGCUAACUACGUGCCAGCCGCCGCGGUAA
This 500-nucleotide ribosomal RNA is filed under the name uncultured bacterium. RNAcentral's name for it is "partial 16S ribosomal RNA". It matches the Rfam family "Bacterial small subunit ribosomal RNA", at positions 30 to 523 of the family's 1533-position model. The record is from RNAcentral.